GCGGGAAGUGACAUAGCAAAGAGACUCAUAUUUGAGCAAGAAGAAACAGGAAGCUCCUCUUUUUCCCUUUGCAUCCUCCAGGAUGUGAGCCACCGGCAAGAAAGGGUCCCAGCAAAAGGCAUCCUCUAUAAAGAUAAGUCUUAUAAUAUAUAUAGAUUUAUGAUAAUUAAGACUGAGCUAGCAGAUGAGAAGUCCUAGUCAUUGGCCAAGCAGCUUUGAACCUAAUACAACUUUCUGUGUAUUCAUUUGGGCCCUAACUCGGGAAGGCAGCUGGUGUAAAGCACACACGUGGCAGUGGGGCUUGGGUGGCUUAUGGCAGAAAGAUUUAUCGUAACACAUGGCAGAGAAAAUUUUCUUGUGUUCUAGUACCUAACCAGGUUUUAAGCACAGGACUGUAAAUGAAACCAAGACUAAUUGUAAAAUCCAGGUCUGGCUAGUGACUGAAAAUAUGUGGUAGGAUAUUUAUAAACACAAUCAUAGGUACAUUUUACAGUGGCAUUAGUAAAGGCUGGAGAAUCUGGUGGUGAAUACAACAGCAACUUUAACUGGCUUACAGGCCAAUGUCCACAAGCAUCUACUCUAUAGAACAUGUGUGUGAAUUGGAUUUCAACUGCAUUUGUAGGUGGAGCCUGUUGGUAUUCCUCUCUUUCCUAUGAAGGACAGAUGUGUUACUAGGUGAAGCAUGGUUAUUCUUCUUCCUCCCAAGAAGGGUUCUCUCCCAUGAAGUUUCACACUUCCCUAGAAAUGACUCUUUAUGAUCAAUAUUUAUCACUUAAUAAUAAUUAAUUUUAUUCUACCUAAUGGAAAAUAUAUUAUUUUCUUCUUCUUCUUUAAUAUAAGGAACCUGAAAUGAGAAGCAACCCAUAAACUUGAGAAUCAAGUCUCCUAUGCUUCACUUUCUUUAGCUGAUUCAAAAACUCACCAAGAUCAUCCCUGCUUUCACCCUUGCUGUGGUCAUUGUCUAGGGAGCCUACUCUUAGGAGGAAUUCCUAUUGUUGCAUUUAAUUCAAAUGUUACUCUUGAGAAAGGUCUUCUCAGGUCCAUUUCUACAACAGUUUUCACAUUUGCAGAAACGACAAAUGAAUCAAAAUCCAAGUAUUUAACAGCAUUCUAUAUUAGAGUCAUGGAUAACCAUAAAAUAACACCCCUUUAGCAACUUAGAAUAUUUUAUAAAAUAUUUAGAAAUACACACAUCCAUAUCUUGAAGGGACAACAAUAAAAGCUAGAGAAUCUCUUGGUAUAGUUAAUGUUGGAAAGCUUCAAAUAAAUUCCCGAUUUCAGCUCAGUGUAUAUCUGUGGAUGUCUGUCUCUGCUUCCAUCAGCCACUGAAAAAGGGCUCUAGGAUUACAUAAAGAGAAGUCAUCAAUAUCAUUUUAGGGGAAGGGCUUUUAGGUUAUCCUCUCCACCAUUGCCUGGAUUGUCAGAUCCUGUGAAGAUCUUUUCCCAUUCUGUGGGUGGUCAUUUUGUCCUACUGACUGUUUCCUUUGCCUUGCAGAAGCUUCUCAGUUUCAGGAGGUCCCAUUUAUUAAUUGCAGACCUCAAUGUCUGUGCUACUGUUGUAAUGUUCAGGAAGCGGUCUCCUGUGCCAAUUUGUUCAAGGGUAAUUCCCACUUUCUCUUCUAGAAGAUUCAGUGUGGCUGGAUUUAUGCUGAUAUCUUUGAUCCAUUUGAACUUAAGUUUUGUGCAUGAUGACAAAUAUAGAUCUAUCUGCAAUUUUCUGCAUGUCAGAAUCCAAUUGUGCCAGCACCAUUUGAUGAAGAUGCUAUCUUUUUUCCAUUGUAUAGAUUUAGCACCUUUGUUAAAAAUGAGGUAUUCAAAGGUGUGUGGGUCAAUAUCAGGGUUUUCAAUUAGAUUCCAUUGGUCUAUCUGUCUAUUUUUGUGCCAAUACCAAGCUGUUUUCAGAACUAUGGCUCUAUAGUAGAGCUUGAAGUCGGGGAUGGUGAUGCCUCCAGAAGAUCCUUUAUUGUAAAGAAUUGUUUUGGCUAUCCUGGGUUUUUUAUUUUUCCAUAUUAAGUUGAGUAUUAUUCUUUCAAUAUUGGUGAAAAACUGUGUUGGGAUUUUGAUGGGGAUUGCAUUAAAUCUGUAGAUUGCUUUUGGCAGGAUUGCCACUUUUACUAUGUUAAUUCUACCUAUCCAAGCGCAUGGGAGACCUUUCCAUUUUCUGGUAUCUUCUUUAAUUUCUUUCUUUAAAGUCUCAAAGUUCUUAUUGUGCAGGUCUUUCACUUUUUUGGUUAGUGUUACCCCAAGAUAUUUUAUGUUGCUUGUGGAUAUUGUGAAAGGGGAUGUUUCCCUGAUUUCUUUCUCAUUGGAUUUAUCAUCUGUAUAUAGUAGAUGUCAUUGUUUCUUAACCCUGAGUAGUAUUCAAUUGUGUAAAUGUACCACAUUUUCUUUUUCUUCAGUUGAGGGGCAUCUAAGCUGUUUCCAAUAUCUUGCUAUUACAAACAAUGUUGUUAUGAACAUAGUUGAGCAAAUGUCCUUGUGGUAUGAAUGUACCCACUUUGGUUAUAUGCCCAACAGUGGUAUUGUAGGGUCUUAAGGUAGGGUCAUCCCUAAUUUUCUGAGAAAUUUCCAUAAUUAUUUCCUCAGUGGCUGUACAAGCUUGCACUACCACCAGCAAUGGAGGAGUAGUUCCCCUUUCUCCACAUCCUCUCCAGCAUAAGGUGUCAAUGGUGUUUUUGAUCAUAGCCAUUCUGAUCAGUGUAAGAUGGCAUCUCAGAUUUGUUUUGAUUUGCAUUUCCCUGAUGACUAAGGAUGCUAAGCAUUUCUUUAAUUGUUUUUCUGCCAUUUGAGAUUGUUAUGUUGAGAAUUUUCUAUUCUCUAUUGUACCCCAGUUUUAACUGGAUUAUUUGGUAGAUUUAUUUCUAGUUGCUUGAGUUCUUUUUGUAUUUUGGACAUCAGCCCUCUGUCAGAUGUGGGGUUGGUGAAGAUGUUUUCCCAUUCUGUAGGGAGCAGUUUUGUCUUGUUGACAGUGUUUUGUUUUUUUGUUUUGUUUGUUUUUUUUUGUUUUUGUUUUUGUUUUUUCAGACCGAUCUUAUGCAGGCAGUUUCUCAAUUGUUUCUUCCUUUGAGAUGACUCCAACUUAUGUAAGGUUGACAUAAAACUAGCCAGAAUACCAACUAUUCUCUCAACUUUGAGAAUGUUAGUUUAAUGUUGAAGAGGAUUCUUCUUUUUUGAUACCUGGACUUGUAUCUUUUCAGACUCUAAGCAAACAUUAAACAUGUUUAAUUUUCUCAACAGUUCCAUAUAGUAACCUAGCUUGUUCUGGACUGUUCUUCUCCAUUAAGCACUUAUUUCAUCUUUCUGUGUUGUACCUGCCUCCCCAUAUUUGUCUUUGAUUGAAGGUUCACAGGAGCCAUGAGUUGUUCAUUAAACUAAAUUCUCAAGAACCGAAACUACAAAAUAGAAGACGUUUGUUAAUAUUAUGUUGAGAUAAAUUACUUAUUCCAUUUUUUUCUUUAAGAAAAUAACAUAGUAACUGAGAGUUCUUGUGUGUAAAGCAAAAAAGACUGAAAUUUAAAUCCUAGACCUGACACAUAUUAGCUGGGUAAUUUCAGGAAAGACAUACAUGGCUUUGGUUUCUGGUCUUCCAUUCAGGUGUCUGUAAGAAAAUGAAGGGUCAAUACAGGGCUGAGAGGAAGUUUAGGAUAUUUAUCUAAGAGAAAGCCUUCCAUGAAAAAUAUAAGACAGACUCAUUACAACUGAAUGACACAAGCAACCCAAUUAGAAUCCACAAAUGAUUUGAGUAGACAUUUCAGUAAUUAAAGAAGAUUUGAGAAUGGCAAAUCAGUACAGAAAGAAAUGUCACAGCUCCUUCAGAAUUAUGGAAAUGCAAAUUAAAAGCACAGUGAAAUUCCGUAAACACUUAUCAGAAUAGUUUACACUUAAGUAACAAAAUCCUUAAAAAAAAUUUCACUCAGUGUGUGAGGUAAGUACAGUUCUUACUCAUUGUUGAGAAAACAAAAUACUGUAUAGCUUUGCAAUAGUACAGCACUUUCAUAAAAAGUUAAAUAUUCAUUCACCGUGUACCUAGCUAUUCCAGCCCUGGCCUUUACUCAAGACACACUAACAUAGGUGUCAUGUCCAAGAAUAAAGAGAGUGGCUGUAAAACUUUACUUGUCAAAGUCCAAAACUAGAUACAUUCCAAAUGGCUAUCAACAGAUAGAUGAAGCAAAUAAGCCAAACCAAACAAAGGGCCAUUGUUGAAGAUCUAUUGAAUGGAUCAUAACACAGCAUAGAGAACUAAUAAUCAAAACACACAAACUAGAUUAGUAUGAAAACCAUUAUGUUUAGUAAAGGAAAUAAAAUAAAAAUGAUUCAUUCUCUAUAUUUUAUUCAUGUUGGAUUAUAGAAAAUACAAUGUACUUUAUUGUGACAGAAAGCAUGGCAUUACUUUCCCAGAGAUGACAAUGAGGAGAGAUGGAUGCAAAUGCACAGAAAAUGUUAACGCCAUACGUGGGGAUGUGUAGCUGUAGCCAGUUGUGUUGAUUCCUUGAGCUUUCAGGCCACCCACACUAAUCCUGACUUAGCUUCUGUGAGGGACCAUUUUCAAAAACUAAGGCUGAGAAGUGAUUGAGGAAGUCAUUCUGAUGUUACCCAUAUCCCCAAACACACCCAUACAGGUUUCUGAACGCCCCUAACACACACCAUAUACUACAACAGCAGUCCAACAGGUGCUUUUAUCAGCAAACAAAAUCAGACAAAUAAGAAAAAAAUUUAAGGUGAAAAAAUGUUCAUACACAAACUAUCUACCUGCUUGGAAUGUUGGGCAGGACACUGAAUAGCAAAAUCACAAUGUCUUAGUGAUAUAUUGAAUAACAAAAGAACAAAGAUCACUGAAGACUUGUAAAAAACACAAACCCAUUCACAGUAGUAGUCACAAUAAAGCUAAAAAGACAAAACCACUUUAUUUAGUGAUUGUCAGACUAAAAAAAGGGAAACAGUUGGAUAAAUGCUAUUUAUAAGGGCAUGAUUAUGCUGAAAUGAAAAGAGGUAGAAGAUGUUACACCAUAAAGUAUAAAUCAAAUAUUUAAUCUAUCUGCUUUAACAUCCAUCAAAAAGACCACCAAGACAAGGAGUGGCAUUUUGUUUGUUUGAGAACUUAAUGAAUACAUACAAUAUACUUUGAUCAAAUACUUUUACAUCCCAUCCCCUCCAAUUUAACCCUGUUGCCUCAUACUUUAUGUACUCUUUUUUAUCUUUGCAUCUUUUGUUGGUAUUUCACACAAUAUAUUUUGAUCAUAUGAUUUCUAUUCCUCCAACUCCUCCCUUCUUUAUCCAUAGAACUCAUGUUCUUUAUCUCUCUUAUAAACAAAAUAAUGGCAAAACAACAGCAACAACACUGAAUCUUGUAGUCCAAUUUGUGUUAGCCAUUGUGCCUGGUUACCAGGUGAAUUCUACCAAACUUAAAUAUAUUAAUUGAUUAUGACAACUUUAAAGGGGACUGGAGAGAUGGCUCAGAGAGUAAGAGCACUGACUGCUCUUCCAAAGGGCCUGAGUUCAAUUCCCAGUAACCACAUGGUGGCUUACAACCAUGUAUAACGAGAUCUGGUGCCCUCUUCUGGUAUGUAGGCACAACACUGUACAGAUAAUAAAUCUGGAAAAAAAAACUGCUGACAACAACAAAAAGACAACUUUAAGGUGCUUAAAGUAAUAAAAAAAAUUACUAAAUGAAUGUAAAGGUUGUCAAUUUCACUUGAAAGUCUUAGUACUUUCCUUUACUAUUGUUUUUUACUAGUCAGUGAGUUAGUAGAACAAACAGAAGCAUGUGGUGUUCCAGGUGUCAAGUGGUGGCACUUCAAGGAGCAGAAAGAUCAACUUUGUGAACUUUGCCUAUAGGUCUCAUAGCUGAAAAACUGGGAUUGACCAUUUAGGACAUGUCAGAUGAUCAACUGAAAAAGCCCAGCUGUGGUAAAAUGGGAGGAUAUAAACAUGACUGUUAAAAGUUAUCAAGAAGGAAGAUGGAGAAAACAUUGUACUGACAACUAUUUGGAUUCACACAAAGAACUCCAAAAGAAGAGAAAUAGACUACUAUCUUAUAAGCUGAGAUGUCUACUCUGUCUUAACACUUCCUGUGGAGCUGUGAGAAGACUCGUUGCUGCAUCUCUGGCACCCUCAGCCAAGCCCACACCACAUCAGUGACAAAGUGAAGACUUCACACUUACUGUAGACAGAAGUUUCUGUGUGCACGAGAUGGAGGCUACUGAGACACCUGGUUUUGGACUGAGCAACCACAGGAUUCCUGACCUCACUAGUGUGUACCAGACCAUUGUUGAACUAUCCAAUGGGUAUCCUGUAAGGCAGUCUAAUAAAUUCAUUUUAUAAUAAUUAUUCAUUUCUGUCUUUUCUGUUCCUCUCAAGAAGCUGACCAGUGGGAACAGUGUGAAAGAGUAUACCAUUAGAGAAGAAAAACUCUCAAAUGAACAAAUAGCAAAAUAAGAAAUAACCUCCUGGUUCAUUUUGUGGUUGUCUUCAAAGCCUUCCUAAGCCUCAUGUAAAAUCCAAGAAUCUGUUUUGAAUAAAUGCCUUCCAAAGACUGCAAUCUGUAAAAUAGAAGAUAUUCAAAGGACUUGCCUCUAAUCAAAUUUAUUUGAAAAGUGCAGACCUCCUGCAUUUUCACUCAAAAUGCAAAAGUUUUUAAUUCAAAGAACUAUAUUCUGUUUCCACCAUGAGCUGAGUAACUGUGCAUUAAUGGUGUGGAGUAAAACCCACCCAAACCAUUUCCAACAAUAAGUGAAAUUAAGUUAUCCUUUUGUAAUUGUUUCUUCUGAAAGUAGAUUUGAUGUUAUCUGAUUUUUGGCAUUGAUUUCUACUUCCCCCAUCCCCAGUGAUAAUAACAAACUGAUGGACAGGUUUUUUUUUUUUCUUUUCUUUUUUUUUACAAAACACUUCACACAAAUGUCUCAGGUGAUCCUCCCAAAUGCUUCCAUGAGGUGAAAAGACAACAGUUAUUAGCUUAAGUUUGCAUUUGAAGAACCAUCCAACUAUGCAUGACAUAAUAGUGACAGAAAAUCCCUUGUUCAUUUUCUUAUCAGCGCUUCAUUUCCUACUGUGUGUUGCACAUUACAGAAGAAAGAGUUAUUAGAAAAAUAACUAGAUGACAUGUUUAUUCUGUAAAUUUUCUCUUUGACAAGAAAGUACUUUCAUAUUCCUUCACUGGGUCUACUUGGUGAAAAAGAUGUAGCUCUUACAUCUUUUCAGUGCACAGCAGAACAGAAAAAGAAGUAGUAAUUUUCCUGAAUGUUGGUGAAUGGUGGAAUUGAAACAAGUACAGGUCAGAGAAUCAGGCAACAGUGAACAUCCUUCUACAACUGUGGACAUUAAGUAGGACUUCCCCAAGGUGGUGACUCAGAUUUGACAAUUGCCCCAGAGAAAGCAAAACAAAUGGAGACUAGGAAUGGGCAACACACUUCAGAAAGAAGAAACAAGAGGGAUUGGGAAUUGACUUCCCUUGAUGUUUCAGCAGUAGAUCAUUUUCCAUAGUUUAUUAGGAUCCCACUACUCCACAUAUUUCUUCUGAUGCUCAAGAACUCAUGGCUGAGCCUCAAUGGCCCAACAGGACACUUCAAGGCUUUGACAUUGUUUUCUCAAGAUAUUGGCAGACUUUCUUGGUAACCAAGUGUCUGUUCACUCUUGACUUCUAAGACUCAUUCCUGGAUGCUGUCUAGGAAAACCUCUGAGUAUAAAUUCUUCUUUGUUCUAGUCCCUGAGGACCACAUUCCUUUGGACUCUGCUAAUCUGAAUUCAUAAGGAUGCCUUCCUUUAGCUGAAAUGGAAGAUGUGAGUCCCUUCAGUACCUUCACUCAGUGGCCUGGUGACAGUUUUAACAGUUUAUUUUCCUGACCUCCAACAUUUCUUUGUUUUGAAUAAAAUUUCCAGGUUACUUGGCACUCCUUGUGAUCCUUUAUUUCAAUUCUUCAAGUAGGAGGCCAUAGCUCUGGAAACACCAAGCUAAUACUCCACCCUAGGCAACAUUUGCAUCAUAAGUUGGCUUUAAAUUAGUGUUUGGCUACCUAACCAUUCUGUAGAAUUGUAAAAUUUUCUCUGGGUUUCAGAUGUCAUAAUUCUUUUUAUAGUGCGGUUACUUAAGAAUGCUGAUAUACAUACAUGCUGUGAUUGAAUACUUUGAAUAGUCCCUGGAGGAUUAAAUGAAAUGAUUUGUGCAAAAUACAAAGCUGACCCAGAAAAAUAUCUUAAUAAAUGGCAUUUGAAAUACAAUUUAACUUAACAUGAGAAAUAUGUUGGAAAUUAACCAUUAUGAGUUUAAGCUUUUACUAUUUCUUGCCCUUGAGAAAACUCUUUAAUGUCUCCAUAUUCAGGAAAAUUUCAGGGCAGACUUCUUUAGUUCUUGUAAUACUAUCAUGCUAUGCUGUAAGCAUAUUAUAUAAAAUAUGAAAAUCUCUUAGCAUGAUGAUCCCAUCUUAGUACGAUGAUGGAUUAAUAGAUUGAUUAUUGCCUACUGAUUAUUGAAUUUCUCUUGGUUGUCACUAGAAUUAGCUAAUAGGACUCUACUAAUGGAAACAUAAUGAAUGUUUGUUGCAAAAUAUAAAGAAAUCAAGUUGGAACUGAGCUGGAAGCUCCCUCCAUUGUGACUAUUUUCAGUAGUUCUGGAGAUGCUAGGCAGGGUGUUAGGGGACAAAAAUCUUCAACAGUCUUAUCCAACUGUGAACCCUGUAGACUACAAUCCAAA
This 8686-nucleotide long non-coding RNA is filed under the name Cricetulus griseus (Chinese hamster). RNAcentral describes it as "lncRNA (ENSCGRG00015035929.1)". The record is from RNAcentral. Lineage: Eukaryota; Metazoa; Chordata; Mammalia; Rodentia; Cricetidae.